UGAGGAAUAUUGGACAAUGGAUGGAAAUCUGAUCCAGCCAUGCCGCGUGCAGGAAGACGGCCCUAUGGGUUGUAAACUGCUUUUGUAUGGGAGCAAUAAGGGCUACGAGUAGCCUGAUGAGAGUACCAUACGAAUAAGGACCGGCUAACUCCGUGCCAGCAGCCGCGGUAAUACGGAGGGUCCGAGCGUUAUCCGGAUUUAUUGGGUUUAAAGGGUGCGUAGGCGGUUUUAUAAGUCAGCGGUGAAAUUUUCCGGCUCAACCGGGAUACUGCCGUUGAUACUGUAAGGCUAGGAUAUGGUUGCUGUGGGUGGAAUGUGUGGUGUAGCGGUGAAAUGCUUAGAGAUCACACAGAAUAUCGAUUGCGAAGGCAGCUCACAAAGCCAUUAUUGACGCUGAGGC
RNAcentral lists this ribosomal RNA (400 nucleotides) under uncultured bacterium. Its description in RNAcentral is "bacterial SSU rRNA". It matches the Rfam family "Bacterial small subunit ribosomal RNA", at positions 355 to 752 of the family's 1533-position model. The record is from RNAcentral.